This 414-nucleotide ribosomal RNA is filed under the name uncultured bacterium. Its description in RNAcentral is "partial 16S ribosomal RNA". It matches the Rfam family "Bacterial small subunit ribosomal RNA", at positions 355 to 760 of the family's 1533-position model. The record is from RNAcentral.
UGGGGAAUAUUGCACAAUGGGCGCAAGCCUGAUGCAGCCAUGCCGCGUGUGUGAAGAAGGCCUUCGGGUUGUAAAGCACUUUCAGCGAGGAGGAAGGCAUUAAGGUUAAUAACCUUAGUGAUUGACGUUACUCGCAGAAGAAGCACCGGCUAACUCCGUGCCAGCAGCCGCGGUAAUACGGAGGGUGCAAGCGUUAAUCGGAAUUACUGGGCGUAAAGCGCACGCAGGCGGUUUGUUAAGUCAGAUGUGAAAUCCCCGAGCUUAACUUGGGAACUGCAUUUGAAACUGGCAAGCUAGAGUCUUGUAGAGGGGGGUAGAAUUCCAGGUGUAGCGGUGAAAUGCGUAGGAGAUCUGGAGGAAUACCGGUGGCGAAGGCGGCCCCCUGGACAAAGACUGACGCUCAGGUGCGAAAGC